Molecule: long non-coding RNA, 833 nt
Filed under: Volvox carteri
Lineage: Eukaryota; Viridiplantae; Chlorophyta; Chlorophyceae; Chlamydomonadales; Volvocaceae
Description: long non-coding RNA (VCAR_LNC004140)
Source: RNAcentral
CCCAAAGUCAUCUUCUUCUUCUUCCCCUAAAGGGGAUGAACCAAAGUCUUCCCCUAAAGGGGAAGAGCACUAAAGGGGAAGAUGACUUUGGGGUUCCCUUUAGAAGAUGACUUUGGGGUUCCCUUUAGGGGAAGAACUAAAGGGGAUGGGGAACAAAAAGGGUUUCCAAAGAAGGGAACCUUUGGGUUCCGUCCCCUUUGGGGAACCGAAGGGGGGGNUUGUUGUCCCUACUUUGGUUUUCGUAAGGGAAUGACUUCCCCUUCUUGUUCUUCUUCUUCUUCCCCUAAAGGGGAAGAACCCCUUCUUCCCCUAAAGGGGACUUCUUCCCCUAAAGGGGAAGAACUAAAGGGGAACUAAAGUUCAUCCCCGAAGGGGAACAUCCCCUAAAGGGUUGUCCCCUUUAGUGUUCGUCCCCUUUAGGGGAACCGAAGGUGUGUUCCCCUUCUUCCCCUAAAGGGGACGGAGUCCCCUAAAGGGGAAGAAGGGGUGUUCCCCUUCUUCCCCUAAAGGGGACGGAGACGAAGGGGUUCCCCUUUGGGGAAGAAAACGAAGGGGUUCAUCCCCUUCGUUAUCACCAAAGGGGAAGACGAAGGGGUUCCCCUUUGGGGAAGACGAAGAAGAUGAACCAAAGGCUUCCCCUUUAGGGGAUGAUAUCCCCUAAAGGGGAACUUUUGUGUUCUUCUUCUUCUUCGUCUUCUUUAGUUCCCCUAAAGGGGAUGAACCAAAGUCUCUUCUUCUUCCCCUUUAGGGGACUCCGUCCCCUUUAGUUCCCCUAAAGGGGAUGAAGAAGUGCUCGUCCCCUUUAGGGGAACUAAAGGGGAUGAACCGAAGGG